RNAcentral lists this ribosomal RNA (1228 nucleotides) under metagenome. Its description in RNAcentral is "bacterial SSU rRNA". It matches the Rfam family "Bacterial small subunit ribosomal RNA", at positions 279 to 1498 of the family's 1533-position model. The record is from RNAcentral.
AUGGUUAGCCGACCUGAGAGGGUGAUCGGCCACAUUGGGACUGAGGCACGGCCCAGACUCCUACGGGAGGCAGCAGUAGGGAAUCUUGCGCAAUGGACGAAAGUCUGACGCAGCAACUCCGCGUGGAGGAUGACGGUUUUCGGAUUGUAAACUCCUUUUAUUUGGGAAGAACAGUCAGCAUAGGUAAUGAUGCUGAUUUGACGGUACCAUUUGAAUAAGCGACGGCUAAAUACGUGCCAGCAGCCGCGGUAAUACGUAUGUCGCAAGCGUUAUUCGGAAUCACUGGGCGUAAAGAGUUCGUAGGCGGAUUCGUAAGUCAGAAGUGAAAUUUCGGGGCUCAACCCUGAAACUGCUUUUGAAACUGCGUAUCUUGAGUAUGUGAGAGGAAGAUGGAAUUCCUGGUGUAGCGGUGGAAUGCGUAGAUAUCAGGAAGAACACCGGUGGCGAAGGCGGUCUUCUGGCACAAUACUGACGCUGAGGAACGAAAGCGUGGGGAGCGAACAGGAUUAGAUACCCUGGUAGUCCACGCCGUAAACGAUGGACACUAGUUGUUGGAGGGCUUGACCCUUCAGUGACGUAGCUAACGUGUUAAGUGUCCCGCCUGGGGAGUACGUCCGCAAGGAUGAAACCCAAAGGAAUUGACGGGGGCCCGCACAAGCGGUGGAGCAUGUGCUUUAAUUCGAUGCAACGCGAAGAACCUUACCUGGUCUUGACAUACCACUGACCGUCCUAGAGAUAGGAUUUUUUCUUCGGAAACAGUGGAUACAGGUGCUGCAUGGUUGUCGUCAGCUCGUGUCGUGAGAUGUUGGGUUAAGUCCCGCAACGAGCGCAACCCUUGUCCUUAGUUGCCAGCGAGUAAUGUCGGGAACUCUAAGGAGACUGCCCACGCAAGUGGGAGGAAGGUGAGGAUGACGUCAAAUCAUCAUGGCCCUUACGACCAGGGCUAGACACGUGCUACAAUGGACGGUACAAUGGGUUGCUAACUGGUGACAGUAUGCUAAUCUCAAAAAACCGUUCUCAGUUCGGAUCGAAGUCUGCAACUCGACUUCGUGAAGUUGGAAUCGCUAGUAAUCGUGGAUCAGCAUGCCACGGUGAAUACGUUCCCGGGCCUUGUACACACCGCCCGUCAAGCCACGGAAGUUGGUUGCACCCAAAAUCGUUUCGUUAACCUUCGGGAGGCGAGCGACUAAGGUGAAGCCGAUAACUGGGGCUAAGUCGGAACAAGGUA